RNAcentral lists this long non-coding RNA (327 nucleotides) under Homo sapiens (human). RNAcentral's name for it is "LHRI_LNC1611.1". The record is from RNAcentral. Lineage: Eukaryota; Metazoa; Chordata; Mammalia; Primates; Hominidae.
CCUGGACUGUUUCUUUUUGUCUAGCAUUUAUUGACUAUCUUGUGCCAGAUACUUGGAUGAGAAUGUAAAGAUAAAAAUGGCCAAGGUUUUUGCCAAUGAGAAACUUAGGCUGUAUGUGAUUGUACCAAAUACUGGUGACCAAGAAAAGCACCAACUAUUAUAAGACACAAAAUAGUGAGAACUUAAAUGAAAAGGUGAUUGUAAUUCCCAGAAGCUAGUGAGCAAAAGAAUGGAAAGUUACAGAGAGGAGGUAAAAAAGGCAUUCCAAAUGAAAUGAAAAAGUUGGGAGUGGCAGCAUGGAUAUGGUAUAAAGGUCAUAGUGCACUG